CAGCUGUCCUUCAUCACAACUGAAGACACAUAAAUCCUCCUCAUCACAAACAUGACUUUGAUCUGCGUCCUCAUCUGGACUCUCCUCUGCUGCUGCUUCACAGAGUCCAUAAUCCAGGUCACAGUAACUCAGCCUGCAGCCGUGAGAGCUGAUCUUGGAGGAUCUGCCACCAUCAGCUGCAGGACCAACUAUGGAGUAUAUAGCAGUAGCUAUUUACACUGGUACCAGCAGAAAGACAGAGCAGUUCCUAAACUGCUCAUGUACAUCACCAACACUCGAGCAUCAGGGACUCCAAGUCGUUUUACAGGCAGUGGAUCAAACUCUGACUUCACUCUGACCAUCAGUGGAGUUCAGGCUGAAGAUGCUGCAGUUUAUUACUGUAAGGGAGUUUUUGACUCAAGUAAAUACGAGCUGUAUACACAGUGA
Molecule: non-coding RNA, 426 nt
Organism: Xiphophorus maculatus (southern platyfish)
Lineage: Eukaryota; Metazoa; Chordata; Actinopteri; Cyprinodontiformes; Poeciliidae
Source: the annotation of a RefSeq genome assembly